GGCGGCAGGCCUAACACAUGCAAGUCGAGCGGUAGAGAGAAGCUUGCUUCUCUUGAGAGCGGCGGACGGGUGAGUAAUACCUAGGAAUCUGCCUGAUAGUGGGGGAUAACGUUCGGAAACGGACGCUAAUACCGCAUACGUCCUACGGGAGAAAGCAGGGGACCUUCGGGCCUUGCGCUAUCAGAUGGGCCUAGGUCGGAUUAGCUAGUUGGUGAGGUAAUGGCUCACCAAGGCUACGAUCCGUAACUGGUCUGAGAGGAUGAUCAGUCACACUGGAACUGAGACACGGUCCAGACUCCUACGGGAGGCAGCAGUGGGGAAUAUUGGACAAUGGGCGAAAGCCUGAUCCAGCCAUGCCGCGUGUGUGAAGAAGGUCUUCGGAUUGUAAAGCACUUUAAGUUGGGAGGAAGGGCAGUUACCUAAUACGUGAUUGUCUUGACGUUACCGACAGAAUAAGCACCGGCUAACUCUGUGCCAGCAGCCGCGGUAAUACAGAGGGUGCAAGCGUUAAUCGGAAUUACUGGGCGUAAGGCGCGCGUAGGUGGUUUGUUAAGUUGAAUGUGAAAUCCCCGGGCUCAACCUGGGAACUGCAUCCAAAACUGGCAAGCUAGAGUAUGGUAGAGGGUAGUGGAAUUUCCUGUGUAGCGGUGAAAUGCGUAGAUAUAGGAAGGAACACCAGUGGCGAAGGCGACUACCUGGACUGAUACUGACACUGAGGUGCGAAAGCGUGGGGAGCAAACAGGAUUAGAUACCCUGGUAGUCC
RNAcentral lists this ribosomal RNA (763 nucleotides) under uncultured bacterium. Its description in RNAcentral is "bacterial SSU rRNA". It matches the Rfam family "Bacterial small subunit ribosomal RNA", at positions 38 to 796 of the family's 1533-position model. The record is from RNAcentral.